Molecule: unclassified non-coding RNA, 252 nt
Filed under: Hevea brasiliensis (rubber tree)
Lineage: Eukaryota; Viridiplantae; Streptophyta; Magnoliopsida; Malpighiales; Euphorbiaceae
Source: RNAcentral
GAUCCUGAUGGGUAUGUUGCCAAUUUUGUGGAAUCUGAGCAAAUUGUACAUAUGAAUGGGUAUACAGCAUCAUUUGUUCAGGUCCGGGGUUCAAUGCCAUUUCUUUGGGAGCANAGUCGAUUUGACAUACAAGCCUAAGUUUGAGAUUGUCAAACCCGAGGAUGCUCCUCAAGUAGCAGAGCGGCAUUUUCUGGAUUUGAGAAAAAAAUAUGGAAGUGUAUUGGCAGUUGACCUUGUCAAUAAGCAUGGAGG